This 466-nucleotide ribosomal RNA is filed under the name uncultured bacterium. RNAcentral's name for it is "partial 16S ribosomal RNA". It matches the Rfam family "Bacterial small subunit ribosomal RNA", at positions 28 to 522 of the family's 1533-position model. The record is from RNAcentral.
GAUGAAUGCUGGCGGCGUGCCUAACACAUGCAAGUCGAGCGGCAGCGCGAGUAGUUUACUACUUGGCGGCGAGCGGCGGACGGCUGAGUAACGCGUGGGAACGUGCCCCAAAGUGAGGAAUAACUGCCCGAAAGGGUGGCUAAUGCCGCAUAUGAUCUUCGGAUUAAAGGAUUUAUCCGCUUUGGGAGCGGCCCGCGUUAGAUUAGGUAGUUGGUGAGGUAAUGGCUCACCAAGCCGACGAUCUAUAGCUGGUCUGAGAGGAUGAUCAGCCAGACUGGAACUGAGACACGGUCCAGACUCCUACGGGAGGCAGCAGUGAGGAAUCUUCCACAAUGGGCGAAAGCCUGAUGGAGCAACGCCGCGUGCAGGAUGAAGGCCCUAGGGUCGUAAACUGCUUUUAUAAGUGAAGAAUAUGACGGUAACUUAUGAAUAAGCACCGGCUAACUACGUGCCAGCCGCCGCAUAA